Molecule: ribosomal RNA, 253 nt
Filed under: uncultured bacterium
Lineage: Bacteria
Description: partial 16S ribosomal RNA
Rfam family: Bacterial small subunit ribosomal RNA
Source: RNAcentral
UACAGAGGGUGCAAGCGUUAAUCGGAAUUACUGGGCGUAAAGCGCGCGUAGGCGGCUGUCUAGGUCGGGUGUGAAAGCCCCGGGCUCAACCUGGGAACUGCAUUCGAUACUGGACGGCCAGAGUAUGAAAGAGGGAGGUAGAAUUCCACGUGUAGCGGUGAAAUGCGUAGAUAUGUGGAGGAAUACCGGUGGCGAAGGCGGUUCUCUGGGCAUUCCCUGACGCUGAGGAGCGAAAGUGUGGGGAGCGAACAGG